Molecule: transfer RNA, 76 nt
Filed under: Chelonia mydas (Green sea turtle)
Lineage: Eukaryota; Metazoa; Chordata; Testudines; Cheloniidae
Rfam family: tRNA
About the family: Transfer RNA (tRNA) molecules are approximately 80 nucleotides in length. Their secondary structure includes four short double-helical elements and three loops (D, anti-codon, and T loops).
Source: Rfam by way of RNAcentral
AGCAGAGUGGCCCAGUUGCUAAGGCACAGACAGGAUUGAGAAUCAGGAGACCUGGGUUCUCUUCCCAGCUCUGCUA